Long non-coding RNA from Mya arenaria, 279 nucleotides. RefSeq lists it as uncharacterized. The transcript is spliced from 3 exons. The record is from RefSeq and is a predicted model, not a curated record. Lineage: Eukaryota; Metazoa; Mollusca; Bivalvia; Myida; Myidae.
UCUGACCUCAGUGGAAGUUGUUCGUUUAAAUGGUUUCGGGACAUUGAAGUAAAACAACACGAGAAUGUCCCACCAAGAGUGAAGGGCUGCCUGUUUGCUUCAGAUUCCCAGUCCUCCUCGCUGAUGAUUUCUGAAGUCCUUACGCAGUCACCCCAGUCUUCAACCUCAGUUUGUACAGAUGAGAUGCCAUACACAGGGGAUCCGACAGAAGACAGCAGACAGAAUUCGUCGAUCUAUUUGAAAUGUCAUUGUUUAUUUGAAAAAAGAUACCUAUCCACA